UUUCAACAACGGAUCUCUUGGUUCUGGCAUCGAUGAAGAACGCAGCGAAAUGCGAUAAGUAAUGUGAAUUGCAGAAUUCAGUGAAUCAUCGAAUCUUUGAACGCACAUUGCGCCCUCUGGUAUUCCGGAGGGCAUGCCUGUUCGAGCGUCAUUU
This 154-nucleotide ribosomal RNA is filed under the name Phomopsis oryzae. Its description in RNAcentral is "5.8S ribosomal RNA". It matches the Rfam family "5.8S ribosomal RNA". From Rfam's summary of the family: 5.8S ribosomal RNA (5.8S rRNA) is a component of the large subunit of the eukaryotic ribosome. It is transcribed by RNA polymerase I as part of the 45S precursor that also contains 18S and 28S rRNA. Lineage: Eukaryota; Fungi; Ascomycota; Sordariomycetes; Diaporthales; Diaporthaceae. The record is from RNAcentral. RNAcentral also lists the same sequence under 1 other name.